Molecule: ribosomal RNA, 433 nt
Filed under: uncultured bacterium
Lineage: Bacteria
Description: partial 16S ribosomal RNA
Rfam family: Bacterial small subunit ribosomal RNA
Source: RNAcentral
AACGAACGCUGGCGGCAUGCCUAACACAUGCAAGUCGAACGAGACCUUCGGGUCUAGUGGCGCACGGGUGCGUAACGCGUGGGAACCUGCCCUUAGGUUCGGAAUAACUCCCCGAAAGGGGUGCUAAUACCGGCUAAUGUCUCCGGACCAAAGAUUUAUCGCCUUUGGAUGGGCACGCGUUGGAUUGGCUAGUUGGUAGGGUAAAAGCCUACCAAGGCGACGAUCCAUAGCUGGUCUGAGAGGAUGAUCAGCCACUCUGGGACUGGGACACGGCGCAGACUCCUACGGGAGGGAGCAGUGGGGAAUAUUGGACAAUGGGCGAAAGGCUGAUCCAGCUAGGCCGGGUGAGUGAUGAAGGCCGGAGGGUUGUAAAGCUCUUUUAUCCGGGAGGAUAAUGACAGUACCGGGAGAAUAAGCUCCGGCUAACUCCGUG